GGGGCAAUGGAAUUUAUAUUUUGAUAUGGAUUUUUUUGUUUUGGCAAGAGCAUGAGAGCUUUUACUGGGCAAGAAGACAAGAGAUGGAGAGUCCAGCCGGGCCUGCGCUUAAGUGCGCGGUCUUGCUAGGCUUGUAAGUUUCUUUCUUGCUAUUCCAAACGGUGAGAGAUUUCUGUGCUUUUGUUAUAGGACAAUUAAAACCGUUUCAAUACAACACACUGUGGAGUUUUCAUAUCUUUGCAACUUUUUCUUUGGGCAUUCGAGCAAUCGGGGCCCAGAGGUAACAAACACAAACAAUUUUAUCUAUUCAUUAAAUUUUUGUCAAAAACAAGAAUUUUCGUAACUGGAAAUUUUAAAAUAUUAAAAACUUUCAACAACGGAUCUCUUGGUUCUCGCAUCGAUGAAGAACGCAGCGAAAUGCGAUACGUAAUGUGAAUUGCAGAAUUCCGUGAAUCAUCGAAUCUUUGAACGCACAUUGCGCCCCUUGGUAUUCCAGGGGGCAUGCCUGUUUGAGCGUCAUUUCCUUCUCAAACAUUCUGUUUGGUAGUGAGUGAUACUCUUUGGAGUUAACUUGAAAUUGCUGGCCUUUUCAUUGGAUGUUUUUUUUCCAAAGAGAGGUUUCUCUGCGUGCUUGAGGUAUAAUGCAAGUACGGUCGUUUUAGGUUUUACCAACUGCGGCUAAUCUUUUUUUAUACUGAGCGUAUUGGAACGUUAUCGAUAAGAAGAGAGCGUCUAGGCGAACAAUGUUCUUAAAGUUUGACCUCAAAUCAGGUAGGAGUACCCGCUGAACUUAAGCAUACAAAAGCGGGAGAGAGAAA
Molecule: ribosomal RNA, 818 nt
Filed under: Saccharomyces cerevisiae (brewer's yeast)
Lineage: Eukaryota; Fungi; Ascomycota; Saccharomycetes; Saccharomycetales; Saccharomycetaceae
Description: eukaryotic LSU rRNA
Rfam family: 5.8S ribosomal RNA (bases 366-519)
Source: RNAcentral